This 76-nucleotide transfer RNA is filed under the name [Clostridium] ultunense Esp. RNAcentral describes it as "tRNA-His". It matches the Rfam family "tRNA". Rfam says of the family: Transfer RNA (tRNA) molecules are approximately 80 nucleotides in length. Lineage: Bacteria; Bacillati; Bacillota; Tissierellia; Tissierellales; Tepidimicrobiaceae. The record is from RNAcentral.
GCGGUCGUGGCGAAGUGGCGAACGCACCGGAUUGUGGCUCCGGCAUUCGAGGGUUCGAUUCCCUUCGACCGCCCCA